AUCUUUUUGUAGUGUAAGUUUGAUCAUUGGAUUUUCAUGCUCACGUGUGAUACGUGCCUCCUUCAAACCUUGUUAUGACACUAGCACAUUAUUCAUAUGACA
Molecule: small nucleolar RNA, 102 nt
Organism: Homo sapiens (human)
Lineage: Eukaryota; Metazoa; Chordata; Mammalia; Primates; Hominidae
Rfam family: Small nucleolar RNA U13
Source: Rfam